UACAGAGGGCUCAAGCGUUGUUCGGAUUCAUUGGGCGUAAAGGGUGCGUAGGUGGCUGGGUAAGUCAGGUGUGAAAUCUCGGAGCUCAACUCCGAAACUGCACUUGAUACUGCCAUGCUCGAGUACUGGAGAGGAGAGUGGAAUUUACGGUGUAGCAGUGAAAUGCGUAGAUAUCUGGAGGAACACCGGUGGCGAAGGCGGCAUCCUGGACCGACACUGACGCUGAGGUGCGAAAGCCAGGGGAGCAAACGGG
Molecule: ribosomal RNA, 253 nt
Filed under: uncultured bacterium
Lineage: Bacteria
Description: partial 16S ribosomal RNA
Rfam family: Bacterial small subunit ribosomal RNA
Source: RNAcentral